RNAcentral lists this ribosomal RNA (253 nucleotides) under uncultured bacterium. Its description in RNAcentral is "partial 16S ribosomal RNA". It matches the Rfam family "Bacterial small subunit ribosomal RNA", at positions 524 to 776 of the family's 1533-position model. The record is from RNAcentral.
UACGUAGGGUGCAAGCGUUAAUCGGAAUUACUGGGCGUAAAGCGUGCGCAGGCGGUUCGCUAAGACAGAUGUGAAAUCCCCGGGCUUAACCUGGGAAUGGCAUUUGGGACUGCAAGGCUCGAGUGCGGCAGAGGAGACUGGAAUUCCUGGUGUAGCAGUGAAAUGCGUAGAUAUCAGGAGGAACACCGAUGGCGAAGGCAGGUCUCUGGGCUGACACUGACGCUCAUGCACGAAAGCGUGGGGAGCAAACAGG